UCUUAUCUAUGUCUGCAUUGAUUGUUACUUGCGCACCCAAAACAGUUAUAGCCAGUAAAUUUAAACAAAUUGUACUGAUUUCGUUGACAUUGAAGGUUUAUUUUACUUGAUUUUAGCUUGCCAGCUAAACAUUUCGGCUAAAAAUUGCACUGGAAAGCACUCUCCUUAAGUCGACUGUAGUUCGGUGCACGUUGUUUUGUAAAGUUCUCUGUGUCGCACUUGUAAACAUUAGGUUUUUGGUUGUAAAGAUCGCUAUUUUGCAAGGUUGUGCAUUAGCCUGGUCGAUUGGCUAACCGAAACGGAAUUCAUCCUGAUCCCCUCUUUCGGGUUACGGUUUGUCACAUAGAUUUCCAAGUGUUAAAUGCUUGGAGAAAUAAAUAAGAUUUAAAGUUGUUGCCCUGCCCCUCUUUCAGGCAGCGAGCUCAUGACCACAUACUGAGUGAAACAAUGCCCUCAAUUCUUUUUAAAUUUUUCCUCCAGUUAAUUUAAAUCACGUAAAUCUUUCCGAUAUUGUUUAACUUAAGACUUCAACUAAAUAAUGGUUACUAAUUACGAUAAAAUGCACUUUUAAAAUAAGAGAAAUAAUCAUAAAAUAAUAAAUAAAAAAGUGGGGGGUCACGUGGAGGAGAGAAAGUAAAUUAAAGAUAAAGAACAAGACUCGUGCAGGAUAAUGAUAUCAGGAUAAUGAUAAUAAUAAGCAGCGUCUGACAGUAAGUGAUAGAAUGUGUAAAACUAAAAGUACACCAGCCAAUAGAAAUAGAGUUUGAUGGUAAAAGGAUUUAACUAAAGGUCCUGUGUUUGUUAUAAAUGUCAUAAAGUGGAUGAAUUAAUAACAUAGAAAUAAAUAUUUAUGUCAUUUCAGAUUUGCAGCUGGAAGGUGAUCAAGACUGGAAUUUCAUAUUUUGAAAGGACAGGCAGCUGAAACAGUGAUAGGGUAGUUCUGUUAAUUAAGGACAACAUUAGUUCAGAAGGUCAAAAUGUACAAAUUAGUUCACAUAGAUAUAGUAAGAGGUGAGAACCUGAAGGAUCAUGACUGAACAACAUUCAAACUCCUGGAACCAUAGGCACAAACAGAAUUCAGAGAACAUGCAACUGAACAGGCAGAUUCUUGAACUGAUCUUUGGGCACAAGGGAACAAAGGAGCUGAUGAGUGCAGCCUUGAGGAGCCAUAUGGUCUCCUUCAACUAUAUUAUGAGAACGGAUGAUCAACGGAGGAUUUACAACCAAAGUAGACAGGAAACCCACCCACACCAAACAGAGCCUCAAUUACAAUAGCAACCACCUCAACGUCCACAACUGGAGCUGUGUCAAGACCCUAUUCAAAAGAGUCGUGACACACUGCAACACAAUUGUGCAAAGAGGAGGAACACUAACAAUGGAUACUUGAUCAGCUUUGUUCGCUGAUGCCCGUCCAAGAGACAAUACCAAGAAGACAAUGUACCUACCAACACACUGACUACCUUACGCUAUGUGAAGAACAUAUCAGAAUUAACUACUAGGCUGUUACGACCACUAGGUAUUAUGGUGGAACACCAACCUACAGCCACACUAUGCCAGCUAUGUACCAAGCUUAAGGACCCCAUAACUACAGCAUGCAGGACGAACAAAGUAUACAAAAUCCCUUGCAACAACUACUAUAUCAGACAAACAGGUAGAAACCUAGUCAUCCGCCUUCACAGACACCAACUGGCUACUAAACGACAUGAUCCACUCUCCCUCCAUUCUGUGUACACAGACCAAGAGGGCCAUCAAUUCAACUAUGACAAAGUUACUAUCCUAGGACAGGCUAACAAGACAUGUGCAAAAUAAUUCUUGGAAGUCUGGUUUUCAACCAAAAAGGCCAUCAACAAACACAGAGAUAGAUCCAGUGUACAAACUGCUGCAGAGAAGACCCAGAAGUGAUACUCAUCUCAACAGACUGAACCAGAUAAAAACCAAGGGGGACGGAACAACAGCGCUUCAUGGAAGUCGCACUGAUAAUGUUACCUAGUAUGGAGCAAACCAACUACCUCAUCCACAAUCAGAGCUACACAUCUUUGUUAAAACCUAAAGGGUUUGCUUCAGUUAAGCUAAUGGCUGCUUUGGAAAGGCAGUUAAUUAGCCUCGUAACUCACCACUCUUGCCCCAAACCACAACUAAACCACCUUGGACCACUUGCACCCCCUGAUCCCCCGUCAACGAUACAGUCUCUAGUCUGAAUCUCACUCCAUGCUCCAUGCCUGAAGCAAUAAAUCCCUUUCCUGCAGCCGACAUCCUACCCUACCAGCAAACCUGAAAGGGCCAUCUUCCCUGCCACGAGACUCAACACAGCUCCUCUCCCUCCUGCCUGAUCAGACUCAACACACUCUUCUUCUCACUGGACUCAAUCACCCUUUCCAUCCCUCCCAGGAAUCUUCUAUUCCCUCUUGGAAUCUUGGCUCCCUGACAACCUGUCACACCGUAAUCCCUUUCACAGGAGCUAACAAAGUGACUGUCUGUGCUGCUAAACAUUUAAAUAAUAGAAUGCAGUGUGAAGAAGAAGAAAUGGUUUGCUUUAUCCCCAACUACCCUGCACUACAAGGAAACUGUGGAUUUCAGGUAAGUUCUACAUUUCUAAAGGAACCAGAAUCAGACUGUUGGGCAGAAAUAAAGCUUACUCCUUGACACUCCGUGGAAUAUCUGGGUCAACUUAACAAAUGGAA
This is a non-coding RNA of Chiloscyllium plagiosum (whitespotted bambooshark), 2681 nucleotides long. The record is from RefSeq and is a predicted model, not a curated record. Lineage: Eukaryota; Metazoa; Chordata; Chondrichthyes; Orectolobiformes; Hemiscylliidae.